Molecule: ribosomal RNA, 247 nt
Filed under: uncultured bacterium
Lineage: Bacteria
Description: partial 16S ribosomal RNA
Rfam family: Bacterial small subunit ribosomal RNA
Source: RNAcentral
AAACGUAGGGGGCUAGCGUUGUUCGGAAUUACUGGGCGUAAAGCGCGUGUAGGCGGCCCCGCAAGUCGGAAGUGAAAGCCCUCGGCUCAACCGGGGAACUGCUUUCGAAACUGCGGGACUUGAGUGUGGGAGGGGAGAGCGGAAUUCCCGGUGUAGCGGUGAAAUGCGUAGAUAUCGGGAAGAACACCGGUGGCGAAGGCGGCUCUCUGGACCACUACUGACGCUGAGACGCGAAAGCGUGGGUAGC